CGGGUGCACUGAUCCAGCCGGGCCUUUCCCUCUGUGGAACCCCAUGGCCUUCACUGGCUGUGGCGGGGAAACAGGACUUUUACUUUGAAAAAAUUAGAGUGCUCCAGGCAGGCCUAUGCUCGAAUACAUUAGCAUGGAAUAAUAGAAUAGGACGUGUGGUUCUAUUUUGUUGGUUUCUAGGACCGCCGUAAUGAUUAAUAGGGACAGUCGGGGGCAUCAGUAUUCAAUUGUCAGAGGUGAAAUUCUUGGAUCUAUUGAAGACUAACUACUGCGAAAGCAUUUGCCAAGGAUGUUUUCAUUGAUAAGGAACGAAAGUUAGGGGAUCGAAGACGAUCAGAUACCGUCGUAGUCUUAACUAUAAACUAUGCCGACUAGGGAUCGGACGAUGUUAUUCUUUGACGCGUUCGGCACCUUUCGAGAAAUCAAAGUGCUUGGGCUCCAGGGGGAGUAUGGUCGCAAGGCUGAAACUUAAAGAAAUUGACGGAAGGGCACCACCAGGGGUGGAACCUGCGGCUUAAUUUGACUCAACACGGGGAAACUCACCAGGUCCAGACACAGUGAGGAUUGACAGAUUGAGAGCUCUUUCUUGAUUCUGUGGGUGGUGGUGCAUGGCCGUUCUUAGUUGGUGGAGUGAUUUGUCUGCUUAAUUGCGAUAACGAACGAGACCUUAACCUGCUAAAUAGCCCGUGCUGCUUUGGCAGUUCGCCGGCUUCUUAGAGGGACUAUCGG
This 729-nucleotide ribosomal RNA is filed under the name uncultured eukaryote. Its description in RNAcentral is "SSU rRNA". It matches the Rfam family "Eukaryotic small subunit ribosomal RNA", at positions 670 to 1426 of the family's 1831-position model. The record is from RNAcentral.